UGGUGGAGUGAUUUGUCUGGUUAAUUCCGUUAACGAACGAGACCUUAACCUAUUAAAUAGUUGCUUGAACACAUGAAUAAUCUAUUCUUUGUUCGGUUAACUUCUUAGAGGGACUCUUCACUGAGAGAGUGAAUGGAAGUUUGAGGCAAAAACA
This 154-nucleotide ribosomal RNA is filed under the name uncultured eukaryote. Its description in RNAcentral is "partial 18S ribosomal RNA". It matches the Rfam family "Eukaryotic small subunit ribosomal RNA", at positions 1299 to 1458 of the family's 1831-position model. The record is from RNAcentral.